This 451-nucleotide ribosomal RNA is filed under the name uncultured bacterium. RNAcentral describes it as "bacterial SSU rRNA". It matches the Rfam family "Bacterial small subunit ribosomal RNA", at positions 335 to 798 of the family's 1533-position model. The record is from RNAcentral.
ACUCCUACGGGAGGCAGCAGUGGGGAAUAUUGCACAAUGGGCGAAAGCCUGAUGCAGCGACGCCGCGUGCGGGAUGAAGGCCUUCGGGUUGUAAACCGCUUUUAAUUGGGAGCAAGCGAGAGUGAGUGUACCUUUUGGAUAAGCACCGGCUAACUACGUGCCAGCAGCCGCGGUAAUACGUAGGGUGCAAGCGUUAUCCGGAAUUAUUGGGCGUAAAGAGCUCGUAGGCGGUUUGUCACGCCUGGUGUGAAAGUCCAUCGCUUAACGGUGGAUCUGCGCCGGGUACGGGCAGGCUAGAGUGCAGUAGGGGAGAUUGGAAUUCCCGGUGUAACGGUGGAAUGUGUAGGUAUCGGGAAGAACACCAAUGGCGAAGGCAGAUCUCUGGGCUGUUACUGACGCUGAGGAGCGAAAGCAUGGGGAGCGAACAGGAUUAGAUACCCUGGUAGUCAAU